Molecule: ribosomal RNA, 2903 nt
Filed under: Escherichia coli P0298942.1
Lineage: Bacteria; Pseudomonadati; Pseudomonadota; Gammaproteobacteria; Enterobacterales; Enterobacteriaceae
Description: bacterial LSU rRNA
Rfam family: Bacterial large subunit ribosomal RNA
Source: RNAcentral
UUAAGCGACUAAGCGUACACGGUGGAUGCCCUGGCAGUCAGAGGCGAUGAAGGACGUGCUAAUCUGCGAUAAGCGUCGGUAAGGUGAUAUGAACCGUUAUAACCGGCGAUUUCCGAAUGGGGAAACCCAGUGUGUUUCGACACACUAUCAUUAACUGAAUCCAUAGGUUAAUGAGGCGAACCGGGGGAACUGAAACAUCUAAGUACCCCGAGGAAAAGAAAUCAACCGAGAUUCCCCCAGUAGCGGCGAGCGAACGGGGAGCAGCCCAGAGCCUGAAUCAGUGUGUGUGUUAGUGGAAGCGUCUGGAAAGGCGCGCGAUACAGGGUGACAGCCCCGUACACAAAAAUGCACAUGCUGUGAGCUCGAUGAGUAGGGCGGGACACGUGGUAUCCUGUCUGAAUAUGGGGGGACCAUCCUCCAAGGCUAAAUACUCCUGACUGACCGAUAGUGAACCAGUACCGUGAGGGAAAGGCGAAAAGAACCCCGGCGAGGGGAGUGAAAAAGAACCUGAAACCGUGUACGUACAAGCAGUGGGAGCACGCUUCGGCGUGUGACUGCGUACCUUUUGUAUAAUGGGUCAGCGACUUAUAUUCUGUAGCAAGGUUAACCGAAUAGGGGAGCCGAAGGGAAACCGAGUCUUAACUGGGCGUUAAGUUGCAGGGUAUAGACCCGAAACCCGGUGAUCUAGCCAUGGGCAGGUUGAAGGUUGGGUAACACUAACUGGAGGACCGAACCGACUAAUGUUGAAAAAUUAGCGGAUGACUUGUGGCUGGGGGUGAAAGGCCAAUCAAACCGGGAGAUAGCUGGUUCUCCCCGAAAGCUAUUUAGGUAGCGCCUCGUGAAUUCAUCUCCGGGGGUAGAGCACUGUUUCGGCAAGGGGGUCAUCCCGACUUACCAACCCGAUGCAAACUGCGAAUACCGGAGAAUGUUAUCACGGGAGACACACGGCGGGUGCUAACGUCCGUCGUGAAGAGGGAAACAACCCAGACCGCCAGCUAAGGUCCCAAAGUCAUGGUUAAGUGGGAAACGAUGUGGGAAGGCCCAGACAGCCAGGAUGUUGGCUUAGAAGCAGCCAUCAUUUAAAGAAAGCGUAAUAGCUCACUGGUCGAGUCGGCCUGCGCGGAAGAUGUAACGGGGCUAAACCAUGCACCGAAGCUGCGGCAGCGACGCUUAUGCGUUGUUGGGUAGGGGAGCGUUCUGUAAGCCUGUGAAGGUGUGCUGUGAGGCAUGCUGGAGGUAUCAGAAGUGCGAAUGCUGACAUAAGUAACGAUAAAGCGGGUGAAAAGCCCGCUCGCCGGAAGACCAAGGGUUCCUGUCCAACGUUAAUCGGGGCAGGGUGAGUCGACCCCUAAGGCGAGGCCGAAAGGCGUAGUCGAUGGGAAACAGGUUAAUAUUCCUGUACUUGGUGUUACUGCGAAGGGGGGACGGAGAAGGCUAUGUUGGCCGGGCGACGGUUGUCCCGGUUUAAGCGUGUAGGCUGGUUUUCCAGGCAAAUCCGGAAAAUCAAGGCUGAGGCGUGAUGACGAGGCACUACGGUGCUGAAGCAACAAAUGCCCUGCUUCCAGGAAAAGCCUCUAAGCAUCAGGUAACAUCAAAUCGUACCCCAAACCGACACAGGUGGUCAGGUAGAGAAUACCAAGGCGCUUGAGAGAACUCGGGUGAAGGAACUAGGCAAAAUGGUGCCGUAACUUCGGGAGAAGGCACGCUGAUAUGUAGGUGAAGUCCCUCGCGGAUGGAGCUGAAAUCAGUCGAAGAUACCAGCUGGCUGCAACUGUUUAUUAAAAACACAGCACUGUGCAAACACGAAAGUGGACGUAUACGGUGUGACGCCUGCCCGGUGCCGGAAGGUUAAUUGAUGGGGUUAGCGGUAACGCGAAGCUCUUGAUCGAAGCCCCGGUAAACGGCGGCCGUAACUAUAACGGUCCUAAGGUAGCGAAAUUCCUUGUCGGGUAAGUUCCGACCUGCACGAAUGGCGUAAUGAUGGCCAGGCUGUCUCCACCCGAGACUCAGUGAAAUUGAACUCGCUGUGAAGAUGCAGUGUACCCGCGGCAAGACGGAAAGACCCCGUGAACCUUUACUAUAGCUUGACACUGAACAUUGAGCCUUGAUGUGUAGGAUAGGUGGGAGGCUUUGAAGUGUGGACGCCAGUCUGCAUGGAGCCGACCUUGAAAUACCACCCUUUAAUGUUUGAUGUUCUAACGUUGACCCGUAAUCCGGGUUGCGGACAGUGUCUGGUGGGUAGUUUGACUGGGGCGGUCUCCUCCUAAAGAGUAACGGAGGAGCACGAAGGUUGGCUAAUCCUGGUCGGACAUCAGAGGUUAGUGCAAUGGCAUAAGCCAGCUUGACUGCGAGCGUGACGGCGCGAGCAGGUGCGAAAGCAGGUCAUAGUGAUCCGGUGGUUCUGAAUGGAAGGGCCAUCGCUCAACGGAUAAAAGGUACUCCGGGGAUAACAGGCUGAUACCGCCCAAGAGUUCAUAUCGACGGCGGUGUUUGGCACCUCGAUGUCGGCUCAUCACAUCCUGGGGCUGAAGUAGGUCCCAAGGGUAUGGCUGUUCGCCAUUUAAAGUGGUACGCGAGCUGGGUUUAGAACGUCGUGAGACAGUUCGGUCCCUAUCUGCCGUGGGCGCUGGAGAACUGAGGGGGGCUGCUCCUAGUACGAGAGGACCGGAGUGGACGCAUCACUGGUGUUCGGGUUGUCAUGCCAAUGGCACUGCCCGGUAGCUAAAUGCGGAAGAGAUAAGUGCUGAAAGCAUCUAAGCACGAAACUUGCCCCGAGAUGAGUUCUCCCUGACUCCUUGAGAGUCCUGAAGGAACGUUGAAGACGACGACGUUGAUAGGCCGGGUGUGUAAGCGCAGCGAUGCGUUGAGCUAACCGGUACUAAUGAACCGUGAGGCUUAACCUU